AUCAAUUAAGAAUAAUUGAUAUUCAAGCCAGUGAUUUAAACUGUUUGUUUUGUAGUCUUCAGUUUUGUAUCAUUGUUUGAAAAUGAAGGAACUAAGAAUAUGAUUAGAUAAGAAAAGAUUCGAAAAGAGGAUAUGGAAAAAUAAACAAUGGUCAACAACCGCCGCACUACAUGGAUAUAUAAAUUAAAGUACAGUAUCCUCUACAUUAAAAUAGAAGUCACUUUAUUGAUUUCUGCUGAGGUGGCACUCA
Molecule: long non-coding RNA, 250 nt
Filed under: Brassica napus (rape)
Lineage: Eukaryota; Viridiplantae; Streptophyta; Magnoliopsida; Brassicales; Brassicaceae
Description: long non-coding RNA (BNAP_LNC005692)
Source: RNAcentral